RNAcentral lists this ribosomal RNA (1314 nucleotides) under uncultured Alphaproteobacteria bacterium. RNAcentral describes it as "uncultured alpha proteobacterium 16S ribosomal RNA". It matches the Rfam family "Bacterial small subunit ribosomal RNA", at positions 33 to 1394 of the family's 1533-position model. The record is from RNAcentral. Lineage: Bacteria; Pseudomonadati; Pseudomonadota; Alphaproteobacteria.
ACGCUGGCGGCACGCCUAACACAUGCAAGUCGAACGAAGUAGCAAUACUUAGUGGCAGACGGGUGAGUAACAUGUAGGUAUCUGCCCUUUGGCCUGGAAUAACACGAGGAAACUUGUGCUAAUACCGGAUAAGUCUUUACGGAGAAAGCUUUAUGCACCAUUGGAUGAGCCUGCACUUGAUUAGUUUGUUGGUGGGGUAAUGGCCUACCAAGACUGUGAUCAAUAGCUGAUUUGAGAGGAUGAUCAGCCACAUUGGGACUGAGACACGGCCCAAACUCCUACGGGAGGCAGCAGUGGGGAAUCUUGCACAAUGGAGGAAACUCUGAUGCAGCGAUGCCGCGUGAGUGAAGAAGGCCCUUGGGUUGUAAAGCUCUUUCGUCGGGGAAGAAAAUGACUGUACCCGAAUAAGAAGGUCCGGCUAACUUCGUGCCAGCAGCCGCGGUAAUACGAAGGGACCUAGCGUAGUUCGGAAUUACUGGGCUUAAAGAGUUCGUAGGUGGUUGAAAAAGUUAGUGGUGAAAUCCCAGAGCUUAACUCUGGAACUGCCAUUAAAACUUUUCAGCUAGAGUAUGAUAGAGGAAAGCAGAAUUUCUAGUGUAGAGGUGAAAUUCGUAGAUAUUAGAAAGAAUACCAAUUGCGAAGGCAGCUUUCUGGAUCAUUACUGACACUGAGGAACGAAAGCAUGGGUAGCGAAGAGGAUUAGAUACCCUCGUAGUCCAUGCCGUAAACGAUGUGUGUUAGACGUUGGAAAUUUAUUUUCAGUGUCGCAGGGAAACCGAUAAACACACCGCCUGGGGAGUACGACCGCAAGGUUAAAACUCAAAUGAAUUGACGGGGACCCGCACAAGUAGUGGAGCAUGUGGUUUAAUUCGAAGAUACGCGCAGAACCUUACCAACACUUGACAUGUUCGUCGCGACUCUAAGAGAUUAGAGUUUUCGGUUCGGCCGGACGAAACACAGGUGCUGCAUGGCUGUCGUCAGCUCGUGUCGUGAGAUGUUGGGUUAAGUCCCGCAACGAGCGCAACCCUCACUUUUAGUUGCCAUCAUUAAGUUGGGCACUCUGAAAGAACUGCCAGUGAUAAGCUGGAGGAAGGUGGGGAUGACGUCAAGUCCUCAUGGCCCUUACGUGUUGGGCUACACACGUGCUACAAUGGUAUCUACAACAGGAAGCAAGACUGCGAAGUUAAGCAAAUCCCGAAAAGAUACCUCAGUUCGGAUUGCACUCUGCAACUCGAGUGCAUGAAGCUGGAAUUACUAGUAAUCGUGGAUCAGCGUGCCACGGUGAAUGCGUUCCCGGGUCUUGUACACACCGCC